This 1246-nucleotide ribosomal RNA is filed under the name Pseudomonas aeruginosa. RNAcentral describes it as "bacterial LSU rRNA". It matches the Rfam family "Bacterial large subunit ribosomal RNA", at positions 1699 to 2925 of the family's 2925-position model. Lineage: Bacteria; Pseudomonadati; Pseudomonadota; Gammaproteobacteria; Pseudomonadales; Pseudomonadaceae. The record is from RNAcentral.
CUCGGGUGAAGGAACUAGGCAAAAUGGCACCGUAACUUCGGGAGAAGGUGCGCCGGCUAGGGUGAAGGAUUUACUCCGUAAGCUCUGGCUGGUCGAAGAUACCAGGCCGCUGCGACUGUUUAUUAAAAACACAGCACUCUGCAAACACGAAAGUGGACGUAUAGGGUGUGACGCCUGCCCGGUGCCGGAAGGUUAAUUGAUGGGGUUAGCGCAAGCGAAGCUCUUGAUCGAAGCCCCGGUAAACGGCGGCCGUAACUAUAACGGUCCUAAGGUAGCGAAAUUCCUUGUCGGGUAAGUUCCGACCUGCACGAAUGGCGUAACGAUGGCGGCGCUGUCUCCACCCGAGACUCAGUGAAAUUGAAAUCGCUGUGAAGAUGCAGUGUAUCCGCGGCUAGACGGAAAGACCCCGUGAACCUUUACUGUAGCUUUGCACUGGACUUUGAGCCUGCUUGUGUAGGAUAGGUGGGAGGCUUUGAAGCGUGGACGCCAGUUCGCGUGGAGCCAUCCUUGAAAUACCACCCUGGCAUGCUUGAGGUUCUAACUCUGGUCCGUAAUCCGGAUCGAGGACAGUGUAUGGUGGGCAGUUUGACUGGGGCGGUCUCCUCCUAAAGAGUAACGGAGGAGUACGAAGGUGCGCUCAGACCGGUCGGAAAUCGGUCGCAGAGUAUAAAGGCAAAAGCGCGCUUGACUGCGAGACAGACACGUCGAGCAGGUACGAAAGUAGGUCUUAGUGAUCCGGUGGUUCUGUAUGGAAGGGCCAUCGCUCAACGGAUAAAAGGUACUCCGGGGAUAACAGGCUGAUACCGCCCAAGAGUUCAUAUCGACGGCGGUGUUUGGCACCUCGAUGUCGGCUCAUCACAUCCUGGGGCUGAAGCCGGUCCCAAGGGUAUGGCUGUUCGCCAUUUAAAGUGGUACGCGAGCUGGGUUUAGAACGUCGUGAGACAGUUCGGUCCCUAUCUGCCGUGGACGUUUGAGAUUUGAGAGGGGCUGCUCCUAGUACGAGAGGACCGGAGUGGACGAACCUCUGGUGUUCCGGUUGUCACGCCAGUGGCAUUGCCGGGUAGCUAUGUUCGGAAAAGAUAACCGCUGAAAGCAUCUAAGCGGGAAACUUGCCUCAAGAUGAGAUCUCACUGGGAACUUGAUUCCCCUGAAGGGCCGUCGAAGACUACGACGUUGAUAGGCUGGGUGUGUAAGCGUUGUGAGGCGUUGAGCUAACCAGUACUAAUUGCCCGUGAGGCUUGACCAU